Molecule: ribosomal RNA, 301 nt
Filed under: uncultured bacterium
Lineage: Bacteria
Description: partial 16S ribosomal RNA
Rfam family: Bacterial small subunit ribosomal RNA
Source: RNAcentral
CAGCAGCCGCGGGAAUACGUAGGUGGCAAGCGUUGUCCGGAAUUAUUGGGCGUAAAGGGCUCGCAGGCGGCCAUUCAAGUUAGAUGUGAAAGCCCUGGGCUCAACCUAGGAAUUGCAUUUGAUACUGUUUGGCUUGAGUUCGGGAGAGGUGAGUGGAAUUCCCAGUGUAGAGGUGAAAUUCGUAGAUAUUGGGAAGAACACCAGUGGCGAAGGCGGCUCACUGGACCGACACUGACGCUGAGGCGCGAAAGCGUGGGGAGCAAACAGGAUUAGAUACCCCAGUAGUCCCUGUCUCUUAUAC